RNAcentral lists this long non-coding RNA (1442 nucleotides) under Prunus persica (peach). RNAcentral's name for it is "long non-coding RNA (PPER_LNC005667)". Lineage: Eukaryota; Viridiplantae; Streptophyta; Magnoliopsida; Rosales; Rosaceae. The record is from RNAcentral.
UUUGACAUUGAGAGUAUAAUGUGUUUUGUAAAAUCUGAGAAAUGAAGGAAUAUAUAAGAGAUGGUGUGAGAGGAGUGGAUGGUGUAGUUUUAUAGAGGGAUUCAGAAGAUAGAGAUGACACGUGGCACAAUUUUAGAGGGUGAAAAUCUUAUUUGAAAUCUGAGAUCACUAUUUGUAAAAAAAUAUCUGAAAAUCUUAUCAGACAUGGGACACGUGGCACAAUUUUAGAGGGUGAAAAUCUUAUCUGAAUUAUGAGAUUAUAAUUUUUUAAAAAUAUCUGAAAAUCUUAUAUGACAUGGGACACGUGGCACAAUUUUAGAGGGUGAAAAUUUUAUCAGAAAUCUGAGAUUAUAAUUUUUAUUAAUGAAUAUCCGAAAAUUUUAUCUGGAAUAAGACACGUGGCAACCGAGAUUCUCAUCCAAAAAUCUUAUCCGAAAAUUUAUUACAAAAGAUUAUCAAAAUUAAUGAUUUAAAGUAUAAAAAAAUCGGAAAUAAAGUACAAUGAAUAGUAAUUGCCCUAGACUUGCCCUAGACUUUACCCUCAUGGGUGGAACCACAAAUGGCAAGGCUGACACUAUUCACGUGAAUAGUGGCAGCCCUUGCUUGCCCUUGCCUUAGACUUUGCCCUCAUGGGUGGAGUUGUUCUUACGCCUUGAAUCAAAACACCACCACCACAGACCCAAUCGAUAGACUCUGGCAAUGCCCAGCUCUCCCUCUUCUCCCCCGAAUUUGUUCUCCCUCAUGACCACCACCCGCAAGCCACACACAGACCCAUCUCUCUUCGCCACCACAGCCACCCGCAAAACCCAGAACCAUCUCUCUUUGCCAUCUCUGUCAGACCACCACCAUCAAACCCAUAACCAGCCGCCAGAGACCCAAUCGAACCAUCAUCACCACCCAAUUCAACAACCAUCAUCACCUAAUUAAACCACCACAACCAUUAAUUAGUGUAACCAAAAAGAGAAAGGGGUGGGUGUUUGCAGCCAUCACAUAUCCAGAAGUGGAUUUGGCUCUCUUAAAAGUUGGGGUGCAGCAUGAAGAGAGAGUGAAAAGGAAUGAAGGAAGAAGAAAAGAGAGGAAAGAAUAGGAAGAAAAAAAGAAAUAGAAGGAACAGCCUGGAAAGGAAGAAAGAAAAAAAAAGGCUUUGGAAGGAAUAAGAAAGGAGGAAGAAAGAAACGGGCCAGAGAUAAGGAAGAAGAAGAAAAGUCAAUGGGGAGAAGAGGAAGAAAAAAAAGAAGAAAAAAAAGAAAAAAAGAAAAUAUAGUUUGAAGUGCGUGGUUCAAUUGUUUGUUUGAUCAGAGAUAAGAUAAUAAACCACCACAUACUCACUUAUUUGUUUUUCUUUUUAUUUAUUUUUAGGUAAAAAAAAGCCUUAAUUAAAAUUAAAAAUUAUAAUUUUAUUUAUUAAAAUUAAAUAUUAAAAUAAUUAUUUUUAGUCCGAC